RNAcentral lists this ribosomal RNA (288 nucleotides) under uncultured bacterium. RNAcentral's name for it is "partial 16S ribosomal RNA". It matches the Rfam family "Bacterial small subunit ribosomal RNA", at positions 71 to 354 of the family's 1533-position model. The record is from RNAcentral.
UCCCGUCGUCCCGGGGCCGGACCGGACCGGCACCGGGUAGGAGUAACACGUAUGUACUACGCCCUAUGCAGGGGGAUAACCCGGAGAAAUCCGGCCUAAUACCGCGUAACACCUUUUGGGAGCAUUCCCGGGAGGUUAAAGGAGAGAUCCGGCAUAGGAUGGACAUGCGUCGCAUUAGGUAGACGGCGGGGUAACGGCCCACCGUGCCGACGAUGCGUAGGGGUUCUGAGAGGAAGGCCCCCCACACUGGUACUGAGACACGGACCAGACUCCUACGGAAGGCAGCAG